Molecule: long non-coding RNA, 260 nt
Filed under: Carica papaya (papaya)
Lineage: Eukaryota; Viridiplantae; Streptophyta; Magnoliopsida; Brassicales; Caricaceae
Description: long non-coding RNA (CPAP_LNC001984)
Source: RNAcentral
ACUCAACUUUUCCUUUGUUGAGGAAAAACUUUUUUUAAGGGAUUCUAGUUAUUCGAAUCUCAUAGUUUUCAUUCCAUUUGACUUAAAACUUAGUCGUUAACAUUAUUUCAUCUCUCUGCAUGCAUAUAUAUGCUUAAAUAGCCAUACACAAUACAAGAAAUUCGUCUAGAGAAAAUUGGGUCGUUACAGUUUGUAUUACAUGUAUUAGCACUAUGAUAUGAGAAGAGAAAAAAUGGUACUACUGGCUCAAAAGAAGAAUG